This 298-nucleotide signal recognition particle RNA is filed under the name Rhizopus microsporus. RNAcentral's name for it is "Metazoan signal recognition particle RNA". It matches the Rfam family "Metazoan signal recognition particle RNA". From Rfam's summary of the family: The signal recognition particle (SRP) is a universally conserved ribonucleoprotein. It is involved in the co-translational targeting of proteins to membranes. The eukaryotic SRP consists of a 300-nucleotide 7S RNA and six proteins: SRPs 72, 68, 54, 19, 14, and 9. Lineage: Eukaryota; Fungi; Mucoromycota; Mucoromycetes; Mucorales; Rhizopodaceae. The record is from Rfam by way of RNAcentral.
ACUGGAAAGAGUAGCGCCUUUCUGUAAGCAGAGUUGCAGUCUUUAAGAGGAUGAAUUCAUCUGUUGGUGGAACAAUGGUGUAUUCAGUGCUUCGUCGAAGUCAGUGUCUUCCAGAGUCUGGUGUCAACAUUCGAGCCUGGACGUAGGUUUAGGCUGGGAGGUUGUUCAAUACUGGGGAACCGCCCGAGGCUAGCAAUAGAGCAGGGAAAACCCAGAGCACUGGCACGGCUGUAAGAUAGCACGAUGGAGGAGUUACUUGGAUACGCUACCACUACGGGUGGGAACUACCCUUUUGCUU